Molecule: ribosomal RNA, 371 nt
Filed under: uncultured bacterium
Lineage: Bacteria
Description: bacterial SSU rRNA
Rfam family: Bacterial small subunit ribosomal RNA
Source: RNAcentral
GUAGGUGGCAAGCGUUGUCCGGAUUUAUUGGGCGUAAAGAGCGCGCAGGCGGUUUGUUAAGUCCGAGGUGAAAUCUCCCGGCUCAACUGGGAGGGGUCUUCGGAUACUGGCCGACUUGAGGAGAGCAGAGGUGAGUGGAAUUCUCGGUGUAGUGGUGAAAUGCGUAGAUAUCGAGAGGAACACCAGCGGCGAAGGCGGCUCACUGGGCUCCACCUGACGCUGAGGCGCGAAAGCGUGGGGAGCGAACCGGAUUAGAUACCCGGGUAGUCCACGCUGUAAACGAUGGGCACUAGGUGUGAGGGGUAUUGACCCCCUUUGUGCCGAAGCUAACGCAAUAAGUGCCCCGCCUGGGGAGUACGGCCGCAAGGCUA